Molecule: transfer RNA, 73 nt
Filed under: Aedes aegypti (yellow fever mosquito)
Lineage: Eukaryota; Metazoa; Arthropoda; Insecta; Diptera; Culicidae
Rfam family: tRNA
About the family: Transfer RNA (tRNA) molecules are approximately 80 nucleotides in length. Their secondary structure includes four short double-helical elements and three loops (D, anti-codon, and T loops).
Source: Rfam by way of RNAcentral
CCUCUCAUGGCGUAGGGGUAACGCGCCCUAUCUAGAGAUCAGGGAGUCGCAAGUUCGAUUCUCACUGAGAAGA